GAGAGGAGGGGAGAGGCUUUUAAUCCCUGAAGGGUAAUGAUCCAUGGAAGUGCUAACAGAAAGGUGUUGUGGAGGGACUCGCAUGGUUGCUGGGUUAAGCAAUAGUUUAGGAAUUAAAGUUUAAUGGCUUUUGUGUUUUUCCCCCCUCUAGAAAUUGGGAGCAUGUGGCAUGCGUGUGCAGAGGCUGGGGAAGGUGUUGCAGCCAUAGAAACAAACGUUUUAGUGCUUAAUUUUACGUUUCCCAUUGCAGGCUUGAUGGCUUCUUCACCAGUCAACAUUAGAGCUGGACCAAUGGAAUCUGAACUGGGCGCGCACUGAGAGGCAUGGUCGAGCCUGGACUGGAGGCAGUCUAUGGCAUAAACAAUUCAGGAACAAGGGGCAAAGAUGCCAUGAUGUCCACAAGCUGAAGGUGAAGUCUGGAUCUGGAUCCUGGCCAUGGACCUACUGGACUCAUUCCUAUUAAGCACUGGAGAAGGCAUGUUGACGUCAUGAAAAAUCUGGGUUCCCAAAAAGGUGCUGCAACAUCAGAACAGGCCUAGGAUCACCGUGGGGCAGAAUCAAGUCAAGGACUGAUGAAAUCUUGAGGCCAAUUGGUGUUUCAUCCAUGCUCAGGAUGACCUUCCCAGACAUCAAAAUGGCAGCUGCUUCUUCCUACUUGGAUUGUGUGCUAGACGGUAUGGGGAAAUGAUAGUGAAAUACACUGAUCCUGGAGCCUGGCAGCUGUUCACCCUCCUUCACCAGGCUGAGACACGUGAGCGCUCAAUAAAUCCACCUCUCCUUCUUCCUAUUCUAUUAUAACCAGGUCGGAUGCAUGUUGCCCCUGCCAAUAGGAAUCCAUUGCAUGCCCGGGACUGUAAGAGCUGUGAAGAUGAAAAGCAUUAUCAUUGUACAAUUACUGCACUUCGAGCCUCCACUGGGUACCCCAAAAAACUUCAGUGUUGCCAAUGCAUGUUUUUUAUUGUGAGCCUGUGACGGGUUGGGUCACCCCUGUGAUAUCUGUUAGUCUUAAAGGUGCCAUAGAACUCUGUUGCUUUUUACGUGAUAUUUGGUGUUUUCCUUAAAGCUCCAUCUCCUGGUGUUGUGAUUACCUAAGAAAUCCAGCUUUCAUUGAACGGGGGACAAAAAGGUAAGUCUGUAACUCUCAAGAUUGUAGGGGGGAAAUCAUGAAAAUAUGAAUUCUAAAGGCUCAAACCAGAAAAAAUAAGCAGAACCUCAAUUUUUAAAAAAAUAUCAUGAUUUUUGAAUGUUUGAGUUGGCAACACUGGGGAUUGUUCCCUACCCCGUAAUGCUCUUCAUUAUGAGGCUGUCACAUCCUAUCCCAGGAAUGUGAAGAGGUUGGUUCCUUGGUGAUGGGAUCUUUCAUCAGCUCUGGACUGAUGCCUUUUCUUACUCCACCACAGCCCAGGAAGUCCCACGUGAUAACACCUUUCACGUUCUAGUCCAAAAAGAUAGCACCGUCCCAACGCUCAUCCAAACUGCAGCAUUAGCCAUUUGCCUGCAGGUCAUAUUCCCCUGGCAGCCUCUUGGCAAGAAGGGGGAAAGGUCCAUAAUGUGACCUCCCUCGUUUCUAUUACAAUGUUGUCUGGCUUAGCCCUUUGGCUUGGCAGGUUAUGGAAGUCAGGAUAGUGACAAGGCAUGGGGCAAACCUUAACUAUU
Molecule: non-coding RNA, 1656 nt
Organism: Chrysemys picta bellii (western painted turtle)
Lineage: Eukaryota; Metazoa; Chordata; Testudines; Emydidae
Source: RefSeq, a predicted model, not a curated record